GGUUACAAGUACCGUGAGGGAAAGUCGCAAAGCACUUGGAAGAGAGAGUUAAAGAGGACGUGAAACCGGUGAGGUGGAAAGGACAGAGCUGGCGUAUCUGGCCUGCAUUCAGCUUUGGGAUUUCUGUCGUUGUGGUGGUGCUCUCCAGAUUGGGACAUUGCUAUUUCUGAUGGAGGUUUCAUGGUGCAUUUGCAGGUGGAGUGCGCUGAGGCGCUUGAGGUAGCGGCAUGAGUUUGGCUCUGAGGCUAGCUUCGCAAGAGGUCUGGUACCCGUGCCGGAGGAGUGCUGUUUACCUUGAGUGUAUAACUGGGCAAUGGAAUCGGGCUCGAGUGGGUGCCGAGCUGGGGGUCGGUGGCGGUCGCGUGCGACACGUGCCAGCAGUCAGUUCGGUCCUGCUUGAGCUCUCAUCAGCCCGUCCUCGGUGUAAAAGCCGGUCAUCUGUCCGACCCGUCUUGAAACACGGACCAAGGAGUUUAGCGUGUGCGCGAGUCAUUGGGUGUUUAAAACUCAAAGGCGUAAUGAAAGUGAAGGUGUCCCUUGUGGAGCUGAUGUGUGAUCCUGGUCACUUCGGUGCAUCCGGGCGCAACAUAGUCCCGUCCUGAUCGCUUGCGGUGGGGCGGAGACAGAGCGUACGCGCUGAGACCCGAAAGAUGGUGAACUAUUCCUGAGCAGGAUGAAGCCAGAGAAAA
Molecule: ribosomal RNA, 689 nt
Filed under: Mesocriconema sp. S159
Lineage: Eukaryota; Metazoa; Nematoda; Chromadorea; Rhabditida; Criconematidae
Description: partial large subunit ribosomal RNA
Rfam family: Eukaryotic large subunit ribosomal RNA
Source: RNAcentral